UGUCGAUUCCGUUUGUCCGCCGUACUUGCUUGGUGAAGGAAAACACCGUGGUACGCACUGGCAUGUCUGCUCCGUUAGGGGUGAUACAACAAUGCCGGAUCCGACACGUCAACCCGUUAAGCGGGUCAUUGUCACGCGUACUUUCCUUCAAUAGGAUGCAUUACAUUCACGGACACAUCUGGAGGCAAACGGGCAGGAGGCUCACCUGAUACUGCCGCCCACUCACACUCA
This is a long non-coding RNA of Pieris napi, 231 nucleotides long. RefSeq lists it as uncharacterized. Lineage: Eukaryota; Metazoa; Arthropoda; Insecta; Lepidoptera; Pieridae. The transcript is spliced from 3 exons. The record is from RefSeq and is a predicted model, not a curated record.